RNAcentral lists this ribosomal RNA (301 nucleotides) under uncultured bacterium. Its description in RNAcentral is "partial 16S ribosomal RNA". It matches the Rfam family "Bacterial small subunit ribosomal RNA", at positions 509 to 809 of the family's 1533-position model. The record is from RNAcentral.
CAGUCGCCACGGUAAUACGAAGGGGGCUAGCGUUGUUCGGAAUUACUGGGCGUAAAGCGCACGUAGGCGGACAUUUAAGUCAGGGGUGAAAUCCCGGGGCUCAACCCCGGAACUGCCUUUGAUACUGGGUGUCUAGAGUAUGGAAGAGGUGAGUGGAAUUCCGAGUGUAGAGGUGAAAUUCGUAGAUAUUCGGAGGAACACCAGUGGCGAAGGCGGCUCACUGGUCCAUUACUGACGCUGAGGUGCGAAAGCGUGGGGAGCAAACAGGAUUAGAUACCCCCGUAGUCCCUGUCUCUUAUAU